RNAcentral lists this long non-coding RNA (309 nucleotides) under Dermacentor andersoni. RNAcentral describes it as "uncharacterized LOC126530786". Lineage: Eukaryota; Metazoa; Arthropoda; Arachnida; Ixodida; Ixodidae. The record is from RNAcentral.
AGUUUCUCGGAACGAAUGAAUCAAUUUGGACCUACAAUUCGACAAUUAGGGCUAAUAUUACGUGCAAAGUGGAUACUAUGGUCAAUAUGACAGACGAAGUGAUUAACUUCAAUAGAACAUUCUAUUUCCAUGGAAACAAGUCAGGAUAUCCGGUGGAAGGCACGUUUUUUUCUGAACAAGCGCCGGCGCCCUAUGCGAUUUUAUACGGUGCACCAGGUGGCCUUAAAGAGGGUUAUGAGCUCAUAGUCUACGCCAGCGAAAACUACAGUUGCGCUGUGAUGAAUGUGACACUAACUAUGGGCUUUAGAG